Anolis carolinensis (green anole) is the source of this 3654-nucleotide long non-coding RNA. RefSeq lists it as uncharacterized. The transcript is spliced from 3 exons. Lineage: Eukaryota; Metazoa; Chordata; Lepidosauria; Squamata; Anolidae. The record is from RefSeq and is a predicted model, not a curated record.
UUAUUGUUGAGGCUUGCUGAUUGUGCCUUUCGUGCAUGAAGGCAGAAGGGGGUUGGACUAGAUGACCCAAAGAAAGAAUCUCUUCCAUUUCCAUUAAUAUUAAUCUUAUUGGGGCUGGAUGGCCAUCUGUCGUUUUGAUUGCUUUCUCGACAUGAAGGCAGAAUGAAGGGGUUGGACUAGAUGGCCUUUAGAGGUCCCUUCCAACUCUAGGAUUCUGCUAAAGGAGUCUUAGUCAAACAGGAGCCAACAGUGUGAUGCUGCAUCUGAAAAGGCCAAUGCCGUUCUAGGCUGCGUCAGUAGGAGAAGCCUGCGAGAAGACGAAAGGGAACUGGUGUGACACUACUUUGGCUGGUUUUUAAAUUGCUUUUAAUAAUUAUUUAAUGCAACUGCUUAUUUUAAUUUACUGUACAAUGUUUAGUAUUGUCUUUUGUUUAAAAUUUUUAUGUUGUUUUGUUUCUAUAGGCAUUCCAUGUUUGCCUGUUGCCAUGGGGAGAUAGGUCGGGGUACAAAUAACAGGUAUGACUUACCUGUUGUUUUAAGAACAAUACUCCUUACAAAGCCUCAAGGGCAGCAGCCAUCUUGGCUAUGAUAAUAACUUUAGAAGAGAACGGUAAUUGCAUGCUCUUUAUUGAAGUAUUUGGAAAACGUUCCUCAGAAGUAGGUGCCAUUUUAUGAGAUGUUCCUCGAAGCGCCAUCAACAACAACGGAAGAAAGCAACUAACGUCUUGGGAGUCCAUGGAUCCGCCAAGCCCAACUGUAAGUGUUUGGGGAAGAAGGUGAGUACUCUAUGCUUUAGUCGCCCAUUGUUACCUUUCGUAGCAGUGCUCUGAUGUUACCCUGUGUCUAAAUGAAUCCAAGCAGGCUUCAUAGAGAUGUGCGCAGUAUUUGUUUCAUAUGUUUCAUUCCUCUUUUGUUUUGUACUGGCCAUUCGGAUUGCAGGAUACAAAAGGUGACACAGCUGCAUGGUCACCGUGCGUUUGCUUUCAUUUUCAGACUGCGUGGCAUCCACUCCAGGAGACGUCACCUGCCUAUGUCAGAGGAGGUGAUCAUUGGCCAAUUGGAGGGAAUGCUUUGAUUGUGUGAGCCUGAGGUAAAAGGAUGUGGUACCACCCCUCGUGGCGCCAGUGUCGAGGAGGAAUGACCUCCUUUAUUGACCUUUCAUCAGCACAGUGGGUGACCAAGCCUCCGAAGCUGAACACAGUAGUGGCUGAUAUGACUCGGAGCAAGUGCUCGGCUAAGACACAGGGUACACCGUCUAAUAAAGAGGGGGAAAAGAUAGAUGUCCAUGUGGGGUCUAUUUGGCCUUGUACCAGGAAUACUUGUGGAGGAAGAUGGGGGCUAAUGUCUAUCUUCCCUCAAGAGCUCCAAGUCUUCGCGAGGCCCUGGGGCUCUCGAGAGCGCAGAAGGACAUGGCCAAGCACACCGCAGACACAGCAGGGGCAACGUUUGCUAUUUCUGCGGCUGUUGGGUGCCAUGCUUGGUUGCGGGCACCCACACUCUUGGAGGAGGGCAGGGCACUGGUGUAGAACAUGCCUGUUUCACGUUAUUUUCUGGUCUCAAAGAAGGGUGGAAGCCAGUGGCCCAUUCUAGACCUUAAGAGGCCUUAAUCAUUUUAUUUGGGUGCCUAUCUUUAGGAUGGUUACUUUGUCGGCUAUUUUGCUGCUACUCCUGGAGCGCGUGUGGUUUGCUACCAUCGACCUCAGGGAUGCCUAUUUACAUGUCGCCAUCACCCCGCGGCAUCACAGGUUUCUUUUAUGAUCAGAGAUCAAGGUUUUUGUUUUCGGUUGCUUCUGUUCGGCAUCUUGACAGCGCCCGGGGUAUUUACAAAGUGUAUGGCUGUGGUUGUGGCCUACCUUCAUACCCAGGGCUUGUUGGUCUUUACGUACAUUGAUGAUUGGCUCCUGGUGUCGCAAUCCCGCCUUCUCCUGCUUCAUGACAUUCAUUUCACUCUCUUAACUCUUUCAGGACCUGGGGCUGAUGGUGAAGUGUACCAAGUCCAACCUCCAGCCCACCAGUCUCCUCUGAGUGCUUCUGGAUUCCACUGCAGGGAGGGCGUACCUUUCCGAUGACCUCUAUGCGACACUGCGGGCAGCACUGGUUCAUGUGAGGCACCAUCCUUGGGUCCAGGCCAGGCAGGUCCAGUCCCAGCUGGACUACAUGGCUUCGAUCACAGGAGUUACGCCCCUGCCAAGGCUAAGGAUGCGGCUGCUGCAGUCAUGGUUUCUGCAGGCCUUCGACCCACGGCGUGGCAGUCCUUCCAUCAUGCUCUCUCCCUGGUUGGUAUGGGAUGCACACAAGGAGCGCCACUUGGUACGGGGUCGUUGAGACUGGUACUCGGCUCUCACAAAGCCACUGUUCGAGCCAUUGUCAACAGCAGACUUGUCCCAUUGUGGAAACAGCCUUUCUUGUGGUGAUGACAAAGCAGAGAGCUAGCGAGCUUUGUGCCCUGUGGGUGGACAAUCUGUACAUGCACUUUCACAGUGAUAAGGUGGUGAUGUGUAUGGACAUCGUGUUCCUCCCAAAGGUGGCCUCCCUUUUUCAUGCUACUCAGGACAUUGUGCUCCCGGUGUUCUUCCAGAACCCGUCCACCCUGCUUGAACAAUCCUUGCAUAUGUUGGAUGUCCGGAGAGCACUGGCCUACGUAGACCAGAACAAGGAGUAUAGGAAGCCCCUGUGACUCUUCCUACAGUACCGCCCGGACACCAGGGGGCUCCUGGUGUCUCUGUAAAAGCUCUCUGCAUGGGUUGUCAUGGCUAUAAGGCUGGCUUACCAGAGUGCUGGGGAGGAGGGCCUACACAGGUGGUCGCUGCCUCCACGGCCUUCUGCUACAAUGUCCCCUUGGAGCUGUUACCUGGGCUACGCUGUUGACCUUUGUUACACAUUACAAGGUGUACCUUCUGUUAAACCACCAGGUGGCCUUUGGGAGAGCUGUCCUGUUUUCUAUGGUGUCAUGACGCCCACCGUCCAUGAUGGCCUGAAAUGGAAAGCCUCCCCCCACCCCUGGAAGAAGUUGUAAAGCCUAGCGAGGCCCGGUUGUGUAUGCCCAGGUGUUUUGGGCCAAAAGAAAACGGAUCUUUUAGCCCUGAAGACAAAAAGGAACAAAUGUCUAACCUCUCGAUUUCAGGUUAGAUGAAAACUGAACAGGGCCCCACUGAAAGCCAGGACAUGAAACAGGUCAAGGCAUUCAGGAUUUUGACAGGAUUCCAUCAUUUCCUUACUUGCUGUGUUUGGCAGCCUUGCCGGCUCUGGACCCCACCACAAACUUUCGUUUCAAUUGCGCUGCCUACAAGAUUGAUUAUUGAAAGCUAUGAUUUAUUGACAUUGAAGUUUCACACAACAUCUGAGAGUGCAGCAUUGUUCUAUUUUUAGUCAUUGCAUUGUAUUUUUCUGUGUAAAUAGCUUUAUGUUUUUAUGGUUAGAUAUAAUUUUAUAGUGUAACUCUUUUCUAAUUUUAGAUUUUAUUGAAUAAUUGGCUGUUUGAUGUUGAUUUGCUUUGAGACUGGGUGGGUUGUUAAUGUAUUCAUGUUUAUACUUGUGGUGAGCCAUUGAAUGUUUGCCUCUGUGUUUUUUGUUUGUUGGAAUCUGCCCUGAGUCUCCUUGGGGAAAUAGAGACAAAUACAAAUAAAGUAUUAUUAUUAUUUAUUAAGUACUCUU